UGUGUUAUUAGUAGACCACCAAUGAGGAAUGACUCAGAGGAAGAAGUAGUUUACACAAAGCUUGAGUUUUGUAACUGAACAUUAUUAUUUGUGAUCCAUUUCUUGCUCAUGAAGACAAAAAAAGUUAACUUUUUUUUUUUUCUGUCCCACUUUUCUAUCUCUGAGGCUCCAAGUUUUGGAGACAGUGUUUACCUAGCAUAAGUCACUACAAGUUUCAUAAACUGGGCAUAAGAUGGUACGAUGUGAAAUCUUAGUAAAAGUCUGUUGUAAUACAACAGUUUCAUUAGGUUUAUUUGGCCAUAGAGACAAAUAGAUUGUCCAUUUCAAAUUGAUUAAUAAGACACCUGGGAAUAUUUACUUGACUGUAUCAAAGCCCGAAGUCUUCGUUUGUGUGAUCUCUUCAGGAUUGUGUUUUUACUUGGAGCGAUAUGCUACUUUUCUGUAUGAUUGGGAAAUAAAGCCUUUAGGCCACGGGGGACGUCACGGCCCUCUGGAUUCCCCUGAAAUAUCCAGGCCCCUUCACUCUGUGAUCUUGCACUUGAAGCAUGUGCUGCUGUUGGCUCAGCACUUCUCAUUAGGUACUGAAAAAGCCUCUGGUCUGGAUGACAAGCCCUGCCAGUCCUUUAGGUAAUAUUCCUUUUCCUCCUCUUGCUUCCUACAGAAAACUGACUUUAUUCAGGGUAUGGAAGCUCACAGUUUAAAUGCUCAGAUUCUUUCACUAUUUUGGGUAAUGAGAUAUAAGUGAGCCUACUUACCUUCCAUUGGCAAUUGUAGGAGAACUGUCAUUUUCCUGAUAAAUCGAUGAUCAAAUCAGAUGACCCACACCCUUUGUGUUUACCCUUCAGAAAGAGCGGCAGCUAUCCUGCAGGCACGAAAAUGAAAGCCAUACACUAAGAGUGGCUGCACUUUGAGGGAUUUUGGAGCUGAUCAAAAAAAAAAAAACAACAACAACGAUAUGGUCUCCAGGCAUAGUAAUCCAUAACACACUUGACUGGGCCACACUUGGACAGGAUUGCAUAAAAUGGGCUCACAACGUGGGGCUAUCCCAGAAGCUCACAGUAAGGAGGGGCACUGCCUAGCAGAGGAGGGCAAGGAGACUCCCCGAGGAGAUGGGGAUUAGAGACACAUCUCAUGGGCCCAACUGAUGUACUCCAGCAGCACAGCAGUAGGGAGUCUGUGGGUCAGAGAGCCCCAAAGGGCCGUAACAGCUCCAGGUCUUAUAACCACAAGGCUCUGUACCAUCUAUUGCUAGCAGAUGUAGAUUGAGGUUUGGGAGGUGUGCAAAGCAGGGAGGCUCUAAGUGGCUAAUGAUUGACUAAUUUGGACUAUAGUUAAAAUAAUUUCAUGUAUUAAGUACU
This 1358-nucleotide long non-coding RNA is filed under the name Canis lupus familiaris (dog). RNAcentral describes it as "lncRNA (ENSCAFG00000055559.1)". Lineage: Eukaryota; Metazoa; Chordata; Mammalia; Carnivora; Canidae. The record is from RNAcentral.